GUUAAAAUGAUGUCAAAUCACUGUUGAAAAAUGUAUUUUGGUGGAAAAAUGGGGCUCAAACAAGGGCUAAUUCUGUAUGUGCAGAUCUCAACUAGAAAGCUUUGCAUCUUUAUGUUACAAUUUUGUUUUUAUUAGGUGAAAAUUUGAUCUUUCCUCCAUGUUAAUUUAGAAAUGUUCAUGCAUUGAAGGUUGUAGGAUACUUUCUGGAUGCAAAAACAUUCCAGUUGAAAUUUGUUUGCCCAAAGAACAAAAAUAGUGUAGAAUUCAUGAGAUCCUAAUUGAUGCAGAUAAUCUCCCAGUUAAGUUUGGAAGUAAAGCCAUACUGCAGUACAACCAUCAGGACAUAGCUUGAGAACAAUUUAAAACCAACAGGUACUCUAUUACUGGGUAUAAAAUGAUUUCUUACAAUAACUAGCAAAUGGGAGUAUCUCUAAUUUUUCUUUUAAUAAAUCAUUUUAUCCUCUUUUGAGUUAUUUUCAUUUCAAUACUGAUUAAAAUGUUUCUAAUAUUUGCUCACCUUGAUUUUGUUGGACAAUUCAUACUUAAUUUGAUAGAUCAAAUAACUUACUAUAAUUAUUAUGAUGUAAGUUCUGCAAUAAAAAUAAGAAAGUUGGAAAGUUGAUGAGUAAGACUCAUAUUUCGGAAAGUUUAUGUUAAAUCGGAAGCUGAAAGAGUGAAAGCGUUCCUUUUUUAUUGAGUGAGGGAUCAAUAGGGUUUGAAAUACCACCCCAAUCUUGGGGAAAUGACAUCUCUUUUUCCUAGUCUUAUAUAACUUUCUAAUAAUCUUUUACCGAGUCUCAGAUUAUGGUGUAGCUGUUCUUUUUAUGGAGGUUGACAUCGACUUCAAUAAAGAGCCUAUUGGUGCAGACAAAGAUAGUAAAGAUGUCAAUUUCAAGGGUAUACGGCCAUCAACUGAAAAAAUUGCAUAGGUAUACAUGUAUAUUGCACUAAAUGCCCAUUUGCAAAAAGGGAAUAUCAAAUUGUGAAGUAACAUGAAAAUUAUAUGUUUGAAGUGGUUCAAUCCAGUGUAUUGCCUAUAUGUUCAAAAGUAUAUAUGAAUCUAUCACAAAGGGUAAUGCCAUGUGGAAUCAGUUAUCAGUACUAAUUGCCAAGCACUGUUACUUGUUACCCAGUUGUGUAUUCACCUUUGUUUUACUCUUCGUUAUGUUUUGUUUUGUCAUCUUUGGUCUUUGUAUUCAUUUGCUUAUGUCAAUUUAUCUUUUAGAUAUUUGGCUGUUUUUUUCCAAUGAUUUUAUUUUAAUUCUUUAAGCAAUUUGACUAACGAAUGUACAACAAACUUCAUGAUGCUUUUAACUUGUAACAUUGUUUUUAUAUUGUAGCACUACUUUUGCAUAAAACCUCCUCCAUGAAGUUUGAACUUAGCAGGAAUGUAUUGUUGCCUUUAUGAUGCUUUUCUAGCUUGUAACUUUACUCUGAUGCUGUAUCAAAUUCAGCUUUUGAAAUGUAUAAAUCAUCCUUUGUUCACUGAUUAGAAUAUUAUUUUGUAAUUUCUCUUAGUUUAUAAAUUAAAAGACUUUUGAUUUUACGUAUAUGAGAUGUCUUUCAAUACUAACACAAUAUAUAUAUAUACACACACACACACGCACGAUAUUACAUAGUUAAUUAUGCCCUGGCACGUGCG
RNAcentral lists this long non-coding RNA (1642 nucleotides) under Olea europaea subsp. europaea. The record is from RNAcentral. Lineage: Eukaryota; Viridiplantae; Streptophyta; Magnoliopsida; Lamiales; Oleaceae.